ACGCUCGACACCUACGGGAGGCAGCAGUGGGGGAUAUUGCACAAUGGGGGAAACCCUGAUGCAGCGACGCCGCGUGAGUGAAGAAGUAUUUCGGUAUGUAAAGCUCUAUCAGCAGGGAAGAGAAUGACGGUACCUGAGUAAGAAGCCCCGGCUAACUACGUGCAAGCAGCCGCGGUAAUCUGAGCGGGCUGGCAAGGC
RNAcentral lists this ribosomal RNA (198 nucleotides) under uncultured bacterium. RNAcentral's name for it is "partial 16S ribosomal RNA". It matches the Rfam family "Bacterial small subunit ribosomal RNA", at positions 328 to 539 of the family's 1533-position model. The record is from RNAcentral.